GUUCUUGUGGUGUAGUGGUUAUCACAUCCGCCUAACACGCGGAAGGUCCCAGGUUCGAUCCCUGGCAGGCACA
This 73-nucleotide transfer RNA is filed under the name Dermacentor andersoni. Its description in RNAcentral is "transfer RNA valine (anticodon AAC)". It matches the Rfam family "tRNA". From Rfam's summary of the family: Transfer RNA (tRNA) molecules are approximately 80 nucleotides in length. Their secondary structure includes four short double-helical elements and three loops (D, anti-codon, and T loops). The record is from RNAcentral. Lineage: Eukaryota; Metazoa; Arthropoda; Arachnida; Ixodida; Ixodidae.